Neogale vison (American mink) is the source of this 393-nucleotide long non-coding RNA. RefSeq lists it as uncharacterized. Lineage: Eukaryota; Metazoa; Chordata; Mammalia; Carnivora; Mustelidae. The transcript has 3 exons. The record is from RefSeq and is a predicted model, not a curated record.
CCACCAAGGCCAGAGACCUGAGGGCACGUGACCUAGGAAUGUGCAUCCCAAGAUAAUACUACCUUCAGAGAACUCUACUUAUAGCAUUUCUACAUUGGUGUAGACAGAGACAUGAAGCUCUACAGCACCAGCCAAGAGGAAGGGCAGUGCAGGGGCCGGCCCCCAGAAAUUUGAAGAGAAAAAAGCAUUCUCGUGAAGAUGGGUUGUCUCAUAUCUUCCAUAAAAUUACUAGAACCCUCUCUGAGCAAUUCCAUAGGUGAGCCUUUCAUCAGUGACAAAGGAAAUUCAGGACACCGAGAAGAUGAUAUUUUCUUAUAGAAUCUAGCAAGACGAUGUGUAAGGAUUUCAGAUGUGUAGUUCCCAUUAAAGUUAACAAGAGUUGUGCUGUUAAAA